Molecule: ribosomal RNA, 889 nt
Filed under: uncultured bacterium
Lineage: Bacteria
Description: bacterial SSU rRNA
Rfam family: Bacterial small subunit ribosomal RNA
Source: RNAcentral
AGAGUUUGAUCCUGGCUCAGGAUGAACGCUGGCGGCGUGCGUAAUACAUGCAAGUCGAACGCUUUGUCUUUAAUUGAUAUGAAGAGCUUGCUCUGAUUUGAUUUUAUCUGACAAAGAGUGGCGAACGGGUGAGUAACACGUGGGUAACCUACCUCUUAGCAGGGGAUAACAUUUGGAAACAAGUGCUAAUACCGUAUAACACUAACAACCACAUGGUUGUUAGUUGAAAGAUGGUUCUGCUAUCACUAAGAGAUGGACCCGCGGUGCAUUAGCUAGUUGGUAAGGUAAUGGCUUACCAAGGCGAUGAUGCGUAGCCGAGUUGAGAGACUGAUCGGCCACAAUGGGACUGAGACACGGCCCAUACUCCUACGGGAGGCAGCAGUAGGGAAUCUUCCACAAUGGGCGCAAGCCUGAUGGAGCAACGCCGCGUGUGUGAUGAAGGGUUUCGGCUCGUAAAACACUGUUAUAAGAGAAGAACGACAUUGAGAGUAACUGUUCAGUGUGUGACGGUAUCUUAUCAGAAAGGAACGGCUAAAUACGUGCCAGCAGCCGCGGUAAUACGUAUGUUCCAAGCGUUAUCCGGAUUUAUUGGGCGUAAAGCGAGCGCAGACGGUUAUUUAAGUCUGAAGUGAAAGCCCUCAGCUCAACUGAGGAAGGGCUUUGGAAACUGGAUAACUUGAGUGCAGUAGAGGAAAGUGGAACUCCAUGUGUAGCGGUGAAAUGCGUAGAUAUAUGGAAGAACACCGGUGGCGAAAGCGGCUUUCUGGACUGUAACUGACGUUGAGGCUCGAAAGUGUGGGUAGCAAACAGGAUUAGAUACCCUGGUAGUCCACACCGUAAACGAUGAGUGCUAGAUGUUCGAGGGUUUCCGCCCUUGAGUGUCGCAGCU